RNAcentral lists this long non-coding RNA (698 nucleotides) under Pan troglodytes (chimpanzee). Its description in RNAcentral is "lincRNA". Lineage: Eukaryota; Metazoa; Chordata; Mammalia; Primates; Hominidae. The record is from RNAcentral.
AUUGCUUCAUGACAAGAGGUUCCAUGCUGACAGCAUCUGGGGAAACCUCGCUGGGCCUUGGAGGUCCUUCCUAUGGGUGAUAUGCCACCCACCCUGGGUCGAGAGUCAGAGAAGCGCGGCCGGUCCCACUGCUGGCUUCGCCUGCCUGUUUCCCACAGCUUCCCUCUAGUCAUCCACCUACACCUGCUGCCCAGUUCCCUAGAAACCUGCCUAGUGUAAAAGGAAGCAACUCUGGAGAACAGAAUGAGAAAUCAGAAAGCAAGGCCCUGUCCUCUGAGUUCUCUCCUGGAUGGGGACUGAGGAAGUUUUAUGUGGUCCAGAGAGGCUGCAUCAGUCUCAGGCCCCUAAGCCUUGCCUGGUUCAACAGUAUUAUUUCACUCACGCUGGUCACCCCAUUGUUAGAAAGAGCAAGGAAAGGAGGAUGAGAAAGGAAGAGAAGGAGGGAGAAAAUUGUCCCCAAGAAAAGGAAACUAUUGUCUGGUAAGAUUCAACCCACUUUUCUUGUUAAAUGAUGUGAAUUCAAAUUGUUGAUAUAUAUCACCAACUUGACAUGUGAAACUAUUAUCUCAAAGCAUAUUAUAAAAUACUAUAUAUGAAAACAUUGACAAAUAUACUGUAGUUGAUGAGUACCAGAUAUGAUUAUUGUUCUUUUCAUGUGUGAUUACAGGUGAUGGACAGAUGGUUUCCUCAAUUUAUAU